CCUACGGGUGGCUGCAGUGGGGAAUAUUGGACAAUGGGCGAAAGCCUGAUCCAGCCAUGCCGCGUGUGUGAAGAAGGCCUUCGGGUUGUAAAGCACUUUCAGUGGGGAAGAAAGCCUUGGGGCUAAUACCCUCGAGGAAGGACAUCACCCACAGAAGAAGCACCGGCUAACUCCGUGCCAGCAGCCGCGGUAAUACGGAGGGUGCGAGCGUUAAUCGGAAUUACUGGGCGUAAAGCGCGCGUAGGCGGUCUGAUAAGCCGGUUGUGAAAGCCCCGGGCUCAACCUGGGAACGGCAUCCGGAACUGUCAGGCUAGAGUGCAGGAGAGGAAGGUAGAAUUCCCGGUAUAGCGGUGAAAUGCGUAGAGAUCGGGAGGAAUACCAGUGGCGAAGGCGGCCUUUUGGACUGACACUGACGCUGAGGUGCGAAAGCGUGGGUAGCAAACAGGAUUAGAUACCCCGGUAGUC
Molecule: ribosomal RNA, 465 nt
Filed under: Vreelandella stevensii
Lineage: Bacteria; Pseudomonadati; Pseudomonadota; Gammaproteobacteria; Oceanospirillales; Halomonadaceae
Description: partial 16S ribosomal RNA
Rfam family: Bacterial small subunit ribosomal RNA
Source: RNAcentral